RNAcentral lists this ribosomal RNA (462 nucleotides) under Salmonella enterica subsp. enterica serovar Anatum. RNAcentral's name for it is "bacterial SSU rRNA". It matches the Rfam family "Bacterial small subunit ribosomal RNA", at positions 335 to 795 of the family's 1533-position model. Lineage: Bacteria; Pseudomonadati; Pseudomonadota; Gammaproteobacteria; Enterobacterales; Enterobacteriaceae. The record is from RNAcentral.
AAACCUACGGGUGGCUGCAGUGAGGAAUAUUGGUCAAUGGGCGCGAGCCUGAACCAGCCAAGUCGCGUGAGGGAAUAAGGUCCUAUGGAUUGUAAACCUCUUUUGUCGGGGAGCAAUGAGCGCCACGUGUGGUGCGUUGAGAGUACCCGAAGAAAAAGCAUCGGCUAACUCCGUGCCAGCAGCCGCGGUAAUACGGAGGAUGCGAGCGUUAUCCGGAUUUAUUGGGUUUAAAGGGUGCGUAGGCGGGGAGCCAAGUCAGCGGUAAAAUCGUGGGGCUCAACCCCAUCCCGCCGUUGAAACUGGUUUUCUUGAGUGGAUGAGAAGUAUGCGGAAUGCGUGGUGUAGCGGUGAAAUGCAUAGAUAUCACGCAGAACUCCGAUUGCGAAGGCAGCAUACCGGCAUCCAACUGACGCUGAAGCACGAAGGCGUGGGUAUCAAACAGGAUUAGAUACCCCGGUAGUC